This 757-nucleotide ribosomal RNA is filed under the name uncultured bacterium. Its description in RNAcentral is "bacterial SSU rRNA". It matches the Rfam family "Bacterial small subunit ribosomal RNA", at positions 28 to 774 of the family's 1533-position model. The record is from RNAcentral.
AUUGAACGCUGGCGGCAGGCCUAACACAUGCAAGUCGAGCGGUAACAGAGAGUAGCUUGCUACUCUGCUGACGAGCGGCGGACGGGUGAGUAAUGCUUGGGAAUAUGCCUUAUGGUGGGGGACGACAGUUGGAAACGACUGCUAAUACCGCAUGAUGUCUACGGACCAAAGUGGGGGACCUUCGGGCCUCACGCCAUAAGAUUAGCCCAAGUGGGAUUAGCUAGUUGGUGAGGUAAUGGCUCACCAAGGCGACGAUCCCUAGCUGGUUUGAGAGGAUGAUCAGCCACACUGGGACUGAGACACGGCCCAGACUCCUACGGGAGGCAGCAGUGGGGAAUAUUGCACAAUGGGCGCAAGCCUGAUGCAGCCAUGCCGCGUGUGUGAAGAAGGCCUUCGGGUUGUAAAGCACUUUCAGUAAGGAGGAAAGGUUAAGUGUUAAUAGCACUUAGCUGUGACGUUACUUACAGAAGAAGCACCGGCUAACUCCGUGCCAGCAGCCGCGGUAAUACGGAGGGUGCGAGCGUUAAUCGGAAUUACUGGGCGUAAAGCGUACGCAGGCGGUUUGUUAAGCGAGAUGUGAAAGCCCCGGGCUCAACCUGGGAACUGCAUUUCGAACUGGCAAACUAGAGUGUGAUAGAGGGUGGUAGAAUUUCAGGUGUAGCGGUGAAAUGCGUAGAGAUCUGAAGGAAUACCGAUGGCGAAGGCAGCCACCUGGGUCAACACUGACGCUCAUGUACGAAAGCGUGGGGAGCAAACG